AUGUCAAUACCGACAACAAUGAAAUUUAUAGUAAGAGGAAAAUCCGUCGA
Molecule: transfer RNA, 50 nt
Filed under: Ophiopogon multiflorus
Lineage: Eukaryota; Viridiplantae; Streptophyta; Magnoliopsida; Asparagales; Asparagaceae
Description: partial tRNA-Leu
Source: RNAcentral